RNA transcript from Eucalyptus grandis, 2911 nucleotides. It is a transcript of the gene named E3 UFM1-protein ligase 1 homolog, with no coding region annotated. NCBI's taxonomy places the organism in Eukaryota, Viridiplantae, Streptophyta, Magnoliopsida, Myrtales, Myrtaceae. The record is from RefSeq and is a predicted model, not a curated record. The transcript has 21 exons.
AAAUGCCCUUAAAAUUUUUCUCAAGGGAUUUGGGGGGUUGAAGCUCUUUGGAAAGCUGAACCAAACAUCCCCGUAAUCCCUUCUUGGCCAUUUUCCAACUCCUCUUUCGGAGCGGCAUUACGCAAUCGAGGCUUUGCUAACUGACGCGAUCGCGCUCGCGCUCGGGACAGCAGCAGAGCGGAAGCCUCGACGACGCGUGCGGUUUUUUUUUUUUAUUUCUGGGCAUCCUGAAGAGGAAUUCUCCAUCGGAAAACAACGCUUGCGAUCCCUGCGGGAAGAAGGAACCAUGGACGACGAGCUGCUGGAGCUGCAGAGGCAAUUCGAGUUCGCGCAGCAGGCCAAAUCCAGCGUCCGCCUCUCCGACCGCAACGUCGUCGAGCUGGUCCAGAAGCUCCAGGAGCUCCGGAUCAUCGACUUCGAUCUCCUCCACACCGUCUCCGGCAAGGAAUACAUCACUCCUGAUCAACUGAGGCAUGAAAUGCUGUCGGAGGUACAGAAAUUGGGGCGCAUUUCUCUAAUUGACCUUGCCGACACUACUGGGGUUGAUUUGUACCAUGUCGAGAAGCAAGCUCGAGUUAUGGUGGCUGGUAAUCCAGGCCUUACGUUUAUUCAAGGGGAAAUCAUAUCACAACAUUACUGGGACUCGGUUGCUGAAGAGGUCAAUGAGCGGCUUCAAGAAUGUAGUCAGAUAGCUUUAGCAGAACUAGCUGCGCAAUUACAUGUUGGCUCAGAGUUAUUGACAUCAGUCCUGGAGCCUCGACUUGGGAGCACGGUGAAAGGAAGGCUUGAAGGUGGGCAGUUGUACACUCCAGCAUAUGUUGCUAGAGUUAGUGCUAUGGUUCGUGGUGCUGCGAGAGGCAUUUCUGUCCCUACAAAUCUGUCUGCAUUGUGGAGUUCUCUACAGCAACUUCUGCAGGAAAUGGAUGGAGCUACUGGAGUGUCCGUCGAAGCAUCAUUCUUCCAGUCCCUAUUCAAUGAGCUAUUGAAGGGAGGAGAGAUUCUGGGUUCACUCCGUGCAGGAGUGUACUGGACUCCAACUGUCUUUGCCAUUGCUCAGAAGGAAUGUGUUGAUUCUUUUUUCUCGCAGAAUUCCUUCAUUAUAUAUGAAACGCUUAGCAGACUGGGAAUAUCGCAACCUGUUCAAUUCUUACAGUCCAGGUAUCCUGAUGGAUUACCGUUGGCAAAUGCUUUUGUGCAUCCCUCCUUGACAGAAAUGGUGGAUACUGCUAUUGAAGAUGCUGUUGAACGUUCUAGCUGGAUUGACUCAUUAUCUGUAUUACCUGCGUCCUUUGGUUCUCAAGAUGCAUCCACGAUUUUAUUACAUUGUCCGUCUGUUCAGUCUGCUCUCAAGUCUAAUAAAGCUCUAAUCCUUGAGGAGUCCUUUGUCUUUAGCAAUGCCUUUAUCAAGGAUGUAUAUGAUCGCCUGGAGAAAGAGAUGGCAGUAGCUAAUCUCUCAGGAUCUGGUAGAGUUAAUCUUUCUGAUGAUCGAUCUUCAGCCAAGGAUGCUAAAGGAGUGCAUGAUUCUGGCCUUUCCUCCGAGUUAAAUGAAACUUCAAGUGAAAGUACGUCUAUUAAACAUGCUGUUGAUAAAGGGGGAAGGAAAAAGAAGGGAAAAUCUGCUGGAAAUGCUAAAUCUGGUGCAACUGAGAGUGGUCUGGACAAUCAGGAUUUUGUGCCGGUAAAAUCUAAGAAAAACCAGAAGAAGAGCAAAGAUUUAUCUUCUGUACAUUCAUCAGAAGUGAAAUCAAGCACUAAGAAAGAUGCCAAAUCCCAAGAAGAAAACCAGGGUAUUCCUUCAGGAGAAUGGAUUGUGCAAAUGAUCACUACAUUGUUUCCUGAUUUUGAAGAGCAAGGUGUUGAUGAUCCAUCCAGUAUAAUUAGGUCUCUAGCUAACCACUUGAGACCUAUGCUAAUCAAUUCAUGGAAGGAAAAAAGAAAGGCAGUGUUUACAGAAAAUGCAGAGAGAAUGAAACGGUUGCUUGAUGAUUUGCAAAAGAAAAUAGAUGAAGCUUUGUUAAAUAUACAGCUAUAUGAAAAGGCAUUAGAUUUGUUUGAAGAUGACCCAUCCACUUCAGUGGUUUUGCACAGGCAUCUCUUAAGAACAACAGCUGCUUCUAUUGUAGAUACGCUAUUUGUUGAUCUGGAUGCCUACAACAAAUUAAAGACUGGAGCUGAAACCGAAAAUCCUGAAAAUUCACAGUGUGUCUCGUUUAGUUCUGCAGAAAGAACUGCUCUUGCAAAGACAUUUCCUGGAAGCCUUUCAAAGAAGGCUCUUGCAGUGGUUGACGCUUUGGAGGGAAAGAGUGUGGAAAUUUUCAUGACUGCACUGACAGAUUUUGCAGAGGAGAGUGGAUUGGUAGUGAAAAAGCUUGAUAAGAAACUGGAAAGGGCACUUCUGCAUUCUUACCGCAAGGAUUUGACCUCUCAAGUGUCUACGGAAGAGGAUCCUAUCUCUCUUCUGCCAAAAGUAGUGUCGCUACUGUAUAUUCAGGUUCAUGGUAAGGCUCUUCAAGCUCCUGGGAGGGCCAUUUCUAUUGCCAUUACCAGAUUGAAGGAUAAGCUACAGGACUCGGCUUACAAGAUUUUGACAGAUUAUCAAGCUGCUACAGUCACCCUCCUCUCACUGAUUUCUGCCUCCACUGGUGACGAAGAGGAUUGCACUUCUGAGAGAAUUUCCAGUAAGAGGGAGCUUCUGGAGAAUCUAAUGCCAGCACUGAAGAGCGUGGUGCUCAGCAAGCCUCAAGCCUGAGAAUUAGCCAGAAUUGUGCCAUCUUACGGUUAGAUCAUAACUGACUUGGGGAAUUUAUGUUACGGCAAUUUUUUAGACAAUCAAAUGAUCUUGCGACGCUGGCAAUUGUGCUGGUAAUGGGGGAGUUAUCUUGUGCAGGGGAGGGAGGAGAGAGAGAGGAAA